GUGUAUUUUGAUAUCUCUCUCUCUCUCUCUCUAUAUAUAUAUAUAUAUAUAUAUAUAUAUAUAUAUAUAUAGAGAGAGAGAGAGAGAGAGAGAGAGAGAGAGAGAGAGAGAGAUCAAAAUACAC
This is a non-coding RNA of Pelobates cultripes (western spadefoot toad), 124 nucleotides long. The record is from the annotation of a GenBank genome assembly. Lineage: Eukaryota; Metazoa; Chordata; Amphibia; Anura; Pelobatidae.